UUAGCCAUGCAUGUCUAAGUACAAACUAAAUUAAAGUAAAACCGCGAAAGGCUCAUUAAAUCAGUUAUGGUUCCUUAGAUCGUACCACAUAUUACUUGGAUAACUGUGGUAAUUCUAGAGCUAAUACAUGCAAACAGAGCUCUAACCGGAGACGGAUAGAGUGCUUUUAUUAGAUCAAAACCAAUCGAUGUUUGGAUGUGAAUUUUUUUUAUUCCAUUACAUCGUAUAUAUAUUUGUGGUGAAUCUGAAUAACUUUUGCUGAUCGCAUGGUCUUGUACCGGCGACGCAUCUUUCAAAUGUCUGCCUUAUCAACUGUCGAUGGUAGGAUCUGCGCCUACCAUGGUUGUAACGGGUAACGGGGAAUCAGGGUUCGAUUCCGGAGAGGGAGCCUGAGAAACGGCUACCACAUCCAAGGAAGGCAGCAGGCGCGCAAAUUACCCACUCCCGGCACGGGGAGGUAGUGACGAAAAAUAACGAUACGGGACUCAUCCGAGGCCCCGUAAUCGGAAUGAGUACACUUUAAAUCCUUUAACGAGGACCAAUUGGAGGGCAAGUCUGGUGCCAGCAGCCGCGGUAAUUCCAGCUCCAAUAGCGUAUAUUAAAGUUGUUGCGGUUAAAAAGCUCGUAGUUUGAUUUGUGUCUUACGCUGUCGGUACACUGCCCGCAGUGUUAACUGGCAUGUUUCGUAGGACGUCCAGCUGGUGAGUUCAUCAAGGUUGCUUUUUUUUCUCUUAAUUGAGAUUAAAUUGUAAACGGUUGAAUUCGACAUUUUUUUAAAUAAAUGAUCCUGUCAAGGUGCUCUUAAUUGAGUGUCUUGUCAGGCCAGCAUAUUUACUUUGAACAAAUUAGAGUGCUUAAAGCAGGCAAAAAUUUAUGCCUGAAUAUUUUGUGCAUGGAAUAUAGAAUAGGACCUCGGUUCUAUUUUGUUGGUUUUUGAGAAUUUCGAGGUAAUGAUUAAUAGGGACAGAUGGGGGCAUUUGUAUUGCGACGUUAGAGGUGAAAUUCUUGG
RNAcentral lists this ribosomal RNA (1009 nucleotides) under Scarites terricola pacificus. RNAcentral's name for it is "bacterial SSU rRNA". It matches the Rfam family "Eukaryotic small subunit ribosomal RNA", at positions 45 to 923 of the family's 1831-position model. Lineage: Eukaryota; Metazoa; Arthropoda; Insecta; Coleoptera; Carabidae. The record is from RNAcentral.